CGGUAAAUUAGUUUGUUUUUUAUUAUUUCUAUUACUCUUUGUAGCUCUCCUAUAGAGUAUAGAUUUUAUAACAAUUGAUUUAAAUUUUAUUUUAUAAAAUAAGGUUGAUAAGUUUGCUCAUAGUGUAAAUCAGAUAAGUUAACUCAUAGUGUUUGUCCAUUUUAACAAGUAAAAUCAGAAUGAUAUCAAAAGAUGACAUCAAAUUUCUAAGUAGAAAUAAAAUGAACAAAAUAAAGUAUUGUGUGUUACAUUUCCGUAGAUAUAUAUGAAUGUUAGGCGUUGUAUGGAAAAUCUCGAUGAAUUAAGGUACCCAAUGGAAAGGAA
RNAcentral lists this long non-coding RNA (324 nucleotides) under Lathyrus oleraceus (garden pea). RNAcentral's name for it is "Pisum sativum (pea) long non-coding RNA (PSAT_LNC020345)". Lineage: Eukaryota; Viridiplantae; Streptophyta; Magnoliopsida; Fabales; Fabaceae. The record is from RNAcentral.